RNAcentral lists this ribosomal RNA (253 nucleotides) under uncultured bacterium. RNAcentral's name for it is "partial 16S ribosomal RNA". It matches the Rfam family "Bacterial small subunit ribosomal RNA", at positions 524 to 776 of the family's 1533-position model. The record is from RNAcentral.
UACGGAGGGUGCGAGCGUUGUCCGGAAUCAUUGGGCGUAAAGGGCGCGUAGGUGGCGGGACAAGCGUGCGGUGAAAGCUCGGGGCUCAACCCCGCGUCGGCCGUGCGAACUGUUUUGCUUGAGCACUGUAGAGGCAGGCGGAAUUCCGGGUGUAGCGGUGGAAUGCGUAGAUAUCGGGAGGAACACCGGUGGCGAAGGCGGAUCUCUGGGCCUGUCCUGACGCUCAGGCGCGAAAGCUAGGGGAGCGAACAGG